RNAcentral lists this ribosomal RNA (577 nucleotides) under Diaporthe vaccinii. RNAcentral's name for it is "eukaryotic LSU rRNA". The stretch from base 206 to 359 matches the Rfam family "5.8S ribosomal RNA". The record is from RNAcentral. Lineage: Eukaryota; Fungi; Ascomycota; Sordariomycetes; Diaporthales; Diaporthaceae.
UCCGUAGGUGAACCUGCGGAGGGAUCAUUGCUGGAACGCGCCCCAGGCGCACCCAGAAACCCUUUGUGAACUUAUACCUUACUGUUGCCUCGGCGCAUGCCGGCCCCCCUGGGGGCCCCUCCUUCUGGAGGAGCAGGCACGCCGGCGGCCAACCUAACUCUUGUUUUUACACUGAAACUCUGAGAAUAAAACAUAAAUGAAUCAAAACUUUCAACAACGGAUCUCUUGGUUCUGGCAUCGAUGAAGAACGCAGCGAAAUGCGAUAAGUAAUGUGAAUUGCAGAAUUCAGUGAAUCAUCGAAUCUUUGAACGCACAUUGCGCCCUCUGGUAUUCCGGAGGGCAUGCCUGUUCGAGCGUCAUUUCAACCCUCAAGCCUGGCUUGGUGAUGGGGCACUGCCUGUAAAAAGGCAGGCCCUGAAAUUCAGUGGCGAGCUCGCCAGGACCCCGAGCGCAGUAGUUAAACCCUCGACUUUGGAAGGCCCUGGCGGUGCCCUGCCGUUAAACCCCCAACUUCUGAAAAUUUGACCUCGGAUCAGGUAGGAAUACCCGCUGAACUUAAGCAUAUCAAUAAGCGGAG